This 591-nucleotide long non-coding RNA is filed under the name Linum usitatissimum (flax). RNAcentral's name for it is "long non-coding RNA (LUSI_LNC007294)". Lineage: Eukaryota; Viridiplantae; Streptophyta; Magnoliopsida; Malpighiales; Linaceae. The record is from RNAcentral.
GUGGCAGUAAGGGUGACCUAUCUGUCAACUUUUCCACUAUCACCCCCAAAAACCAAAACUCUGCCUUACAUAAACUAGCCAGAGUACGAAUAACCUCUGGAUUUGAAAUCACUGCUUAUAUCCCUGGUAUUGGCCAUAAUUUACAAGAACAUUCUGUAGUCUUAGUAAGAGGAGGAAGGGUUAAGGAUUUACCUGGUGUGAGAUAUCACAUUAUUAGAACAUUUUAUAGUCUUAGUAAGAGGAGGAAGGGUUCAGGAUUUACCUGGUGUGAGAUAUCACAUUAUUCGAGGAACCAUAGAUGCUUUCUAAGUAAAGGAUCAUCAACAAGGGCGUUCUAGUGCGUUGUAGAUUCUUAUCCAAGACUUGUAUCAUUUGAUGAUACCAUGUGAAUUGAUAGAUACAUGUAUAGUGUAUGGCUAACCCAAUAACGAGAGUUUCAUAAGGGGACUAGAGCAGGUAACCAUAAGACAAAAUAUCUUUCUUUCGAAAGAGAUUCGAUUCGGAACUAUGCUAAUUAUAUGUCUAAGGUCCAAUAUUGGAAAAUUUUCAGAGGUAUUCCUUGACUUUGUCCAUGUCAACAAACAAUUCGAA